UUUUAGUAGAGAUGGGGUUUCACCAUGUUGGCCAGGCUGGCCUCCAUCGAACUUCUGGCCUCAAGAAAUCCACCCACCUUGGGCUCCCAAAGUGCUGGGAUUAUAAGUGCCCGGCCUCCUUCACAAUGUUGGAGUGGAGUGCAGCAGCAAAGGCUUUGCCUUAACACCAUGCUCACUGGUGUGGCAGAGAUCAGACUCGCAUCACAAAGCCCAGCUCUGUCACACGACGUUGAUGUAACUAUUAGAAGAGGUGGGAGAUAUUCAUGCCCCUUUUCUGGGCCAUAAAAUGGGAACUUCUCGAGGCAGGCAUAGAGAUUAAAUGAGAACAAGGCCUGGCCCAGCAGAGUUGCGCAAUACGGAUGAGUUUUCUCCUUUCCUUCCCUUCUGCCAGCAAGUCUGACUGCAUGCUCAGCCUGAGCUGAGCUUAUCUGUGGCUUCCAUCAAGGCCUUGCCCUUCCUCCCCCAUGGUUUUGCCCAGGGCCACCUGUACUUGAGAGGGAAAGGCGAGGCAUUUCUCCAGCAAUUACAGCUUCUCAUGGCUGAGCCCUUCAGGCCAUUAAAAUGACAACCUAUUCUUGCUGAACCUAAUUCUUUGCUGAAUCCUUUGCCCUGACAUGAGAGAUGUGUUACCAGGUUAAGUAGGAAGGUAAUUACUAUAAGGUAAGUAUCAAAAAGGAAAUGAAUUCUCACUGAGCAAGGAACUCAGCAGGCUCCUGAAGCCAGCCAAGUCUGUGCCGGAGCCUGUGCGCAGGAGACUUGCAUCAGUCAGAGAUCACGUACCCUCUAGGCACGGCCAUAGCCCGCAGCUGGCUGGAAUGACGAAUGCUCCUUUUUGUUUGUUUGUUUUUUGAAGGAUGGAGGACAUCUUGGGGCCUGGUCCUGACACUCUGCCUGCAUUCCUGCCACAAGGACGGCCUCUGGCCGCUCUGUGGGGUUUCUUCCACCAUACUACAAGCCCGCUGAGGUCAGAAGCCUUGCUGCCCCAACCCCCCAGCCCUAACAUGAUGCCUGGCACAUAGUCGGUGCUUGAAUGAAAGCCAAUGUUGAAGUGUCAGCAUCUCAGAAGAUGACAAAUCAGAUACAUCAUCCACAAGGCCUGCUUCAGAAUAGUCCCCGGUCACAAAUGCUCUGGAUGCAUCUCGGCCUGAAAGAGAGAACUUUCCAUCAGAUCCAGUUGUAAAUGACUGACACUGUCCCCACUCAAGAAUCUAUUUUCUUUCUUUUCUUUU
Molecule: non-coding RNA, 1229 nt
Organism: Chlorocebus sabaeus (green monkey)
Lineage: Eukaryota; Metazoa; Chordata; Mammalia; Primates; Cercopithecidae
Source: RefSeq, a predicted model, not a curated record